RNAcentral lists this long non-coding RNA (639 nucleotides) under Homo sapiens (human). RNAcentral's name for it is "HSALNT0118141". Lineage: Eukaryota; Metazoa; Chordata; Mammalia; Primates; Hominidae. The record is from RNAcentral.
AUUUGAUCUUGGGGUCCCGCUACUCCAUCCAAGGAGCACUAGUUGGGGAUGUAAACUGAGGCACAGGCUUCCUGUCCUCGCCCCUCCCCGCCAGGCCUCUGCUCCUUCAGCACAGCCCACACUCCUAGGGACCUCGCACUUCCCGGAGCAACACCCUCCCACUGUCCUGGGAAUCACACCAUGCACCAUGUGCUGGGCACACAGUAGCUGUACAAGACCCACGAAGAAGCAAUGAUGGGGUCAUUCUUCUGCCUUAAGCCCAAAGGGUCCUUGGUUUGACCAUUGCUCCCAGGUGGACAUAUGCAAGGCAGCAGAAUACAGCCCCAUCACAAGAAAGGGUCUUUAUGGAAUUCCCUGAACCCCAGCGCUGGCUGAGUCUGAAAGCAGGCUGAUGAAGCAAAGCAGAAGUCUCAGAAUCUGAAAUCUUUGAAGACCUGGAGCUCAGUAGCUAUUUGGCGAAUGAUCGGGGAACUUGGACCAUUCUUCUGUCUUCUCAUCCUCUUCCUUUUCCUGUCCACUGAAUGUCACCUCCUACGGCUUCUGUAUCCUCCGAGGAUCCUUCCUGUGUCCCCAGUCUUGCUUUCUGCCUGUUCACUGAGUCUCUAGAAUUUCUCAUCACACAGUGAUGAAAACUCUGAC